RNAcentral lists this ribosomal RNA (434 nucleotides) under uncultured bacterium. RNAcentral describes it as "partial 16S ribosomal RNA". It matches the Rfam family "Bacterial small subunit ribosomal RNA", at positions 29 to 507 of the family's 1533-position model. The record is from RNAcentral.
AGCGAACGCUGGCGGCAGGCCUAACACAUGCAAGUCGAACGAACCUUUCGGGGUUAGUGGCGGACGGGUGUGUAACACGUGGGAACGUGCCUUUAGGUUCGGAAUACCUCAGGGAAACUUGUGCUAAUACCGAAUGUGCCCUUCGGGGGAAAGAUUUAUCGCCUUUAGAGCGGCCCGCGUCGGAUUAGCUAGUUGGUUGAGGUAUUGGCUCACCAAGGCGACGAUCAGUAGCUGGUCUGAGAGGAUGAUCAGCCACAUGGGGACUGAGACACGGCCCAAACUCCUACGGGAGGCAGCAGUGGGGAAUCUUGCGCAAUGGGCGAAAGCCUGACGCAGCCAUGCCGCGUGAAUGAUGAAGGUCUUAGGAUUGUAAAAUUCUUUCACCGGGGACGAUAAUGACGGUACCCGGAGAAGAAGCCCCGGCUAACUUCGUG